AACGAACGCUGGCGGCAUGCCUAACACAUGCAAGUCGAACGACACCUUCGGGUCUAGUGGCGCACGGGUGCGUAACGCGUGGGAACCUGCCCUUAGGUUCGGAAUAACUCCCCGAAAUGGGUGCUAAUACCGGAUAAUGUCUUCUGACCAAAGAUUUAUCGACUUUGGAUGGGCCCGCGUUGGAUUAGCUAGUUGGUAGGGUAAAAGCCUACCAAGGCGACGAUCCAUAGCUGGUCUGAGAGGAAGAGCAGCGACACUGGGACUGAGACACGGCCCAGAAUCCUACGGGAGGCAGCAGUGGGGAAUAUUGGACAAUGGGCGAAAGCCUGAUCCAGCAAUGCCGGGUGAGUGAUGAAGGCGUUAGGGUUGUAAAGCUCUUUUACCCGGGAUGAUAAUGACAGUACCGGGAGAAUAAGCUCCGGCUAACUCCGUG
This 433-nucleotide ribosomal RNA is filed under the name uncultured bacterium. Its description in RNAcentral is "partial 16S ribosomal RNA". It matches the Rfam family "Bacterial small subunit ribosomal RNA", at positions 29 to 507 of the family's 1533-position model. The record is from RNAcentral.